CCUACGGGGGGCAGCAGUGGGGAAUCUUGCGCAAUGGGCGAAAGCCUGACGCAGCAACGCCGCGUGCGGGAUGAAGGCCUUCGGGUUGUAAACCGCUUUCAGCAGGGACGAAAUUGACGGUACCUGCAGAAGAAGCCCCGGCCAACUACGUGCCAGCAGCCGCGGUAACACGUAGGGGGCGAGCGUUGUCCGGAUUUAUUGGGCGUAAAGAGCUCGUAGGCGGCUCAGUAAGUCGGGUGUGAAACCUCCAGGCUCAACCUGGAGACGCCACCUGAUACUACUGUGGCUAGAGUCCGGUAGGGGAGCGUGGAACUCCUGGUGUAGCGGUGAAAUGCGCAGAUAUCAGGAAGAACACCAGCGGCGAAGGCGGCGCUCUGGGCCGGAACUGACGCUGAGGAGCGAAAGCGUGGGUAGCAAACAGGAUUAGAUACCCCUGUAGUC
This 441-nucleotide ribosomal RNA is filed under the name uncultured bacterium. RNAcentral describes it as "bacterial SSU rRNA". It matches the Rfam family "Bacterial small subunit ribosomal RNA", at positions 338 to 795 of the family's 1533-position model. The record is from RNAcentral.